AGAGUUUGAUCCUGGCUCAGGAUGAACGCUGGCGGCGUGCCUAACACAUGCAAGUCUAAGGAGAAAGUAUUCUUCGGAAUAUUAUUAAACUGGCGAACGGGUGAGUAACGCGUAGGCAACCUACCUUAUAGAUUGGAAUAACCUUGAGAAAUUGGGGCUAAUACCGAAUAAUAUUUGCAAAAAUCAAAGGAGGCUUUUCGGAGCUUUCACUAUAAGAUGGGCCUGCGUCUGAUUAGCUAGAUGGUAAGGUAAAAGCUUACCAUAGCUACGAUCAGUAGCUGGUCUGAGAGGAUGAUCAGCCACACUGGGACUGAGAUACGGCCCAGACUCCUACGGGAGGCAGCAGUGAGGAAUUUUGCGCAAUGGGGGAAACCCUGACGCAGCAACGCCGCGUGAUCGAUGAAGCUUUGCGGAGUGUAAAGAUCUGUCAUAAGGGAAGAAUAAUAUAUAUUCUAACACAAUAUAUAUCUGACGGUACCUUAUAAGAAAGCACCGGCUAACUAUGUGCCAGCAGCCGCGGUAAUACAUGGGGUGCAAGCGUUGUCCGGAUUUAUUGGGCGUAAAGGGCUCGUAGGUGGAUUAGUAAGUCGAAAUUGAAAUCCAAUGGCUUAACCAUUGUCACGGUUUUGAUACUGCUAAUCUUGAGUUAGAUAGAGGUAAGUGGAAUUCCUGGUGUAGCGGUGAAAUGCGUAGAUAUCAGGAGGAACGCCAAAGGAGAAGUCAGCUUACUGGAUCUAUACUGACACUGAGGAGCGAAAGCGUGGGUAGCAAACAGGAUUAGAGACCCUGGUAGUCCACGCCGUAAACGAUGAGUACUAGAUGGUGGGUGAUUCGACCCUCUCACUGUUACAGCUAACGCAUUAAGUACUCCGCCUGGGAAGUACGUUCGCAAGAAUGAAACUCAAAGGAAUUGACGGGGACCCGCACAAGCGGUGGAUUAUGUGGUUUAAUUCGAUGCAACGCGAAGAACCUUACCUAGAUUUGACAUGUUAAAGAAAGUCUUGUGAAAAUAAGAGCCUUUUUAAGUUUACUUAAAAACUUUAUCACAGGUGAUGCAUGGCUGUCGUCAGCUCGUGUCGUGAGAUGUUCGGUUAAGUCCGGUAACGAGCGCAACCCUUAUCCUUAGUUGCCAGCACGUAAUGGUGGGGACUCUAAGGAAACUGUCUGGGAUAACCAGAAGGAAGGUGGGGUCGACGUCAAGUCAUCAUGCCCCUUAUGUCCAGGGCUGCACGCAUGCUACAAUGGCAAGUACAACGAGUCGCAAUACCGCGAGGUGGAGCAAAUCUCUUAAAGCUUGUCUCAGUUCGGAUAGGAGUCUGCAACUCGACUCCUUGAAGUUGGAGUCGCUAGUAAUCGCAAAUCAGCAAAGUUGCGGUGAAUACGUUCUCGGGGUUUGUACACACCGCCCGUCAAGUCACGGAAGUCGGCAAUACGCGAAGCCAGUGGUCUAACCCUUUGGGGAAGAAGCUGUCGAACGUAGGGUUGGUAACUGGGACUAAGUCGUAACAAGGUAACC
This 1516-nucleotide ribosomal RNA is filed under the name uncultured marine bacterium. RNAcentral's name for it is "partial 16S ribosomal RNA". It matches the Rfam family "Bacterial small subunit ribosomal RNA". The record is from RNAcentral.